UCAAAUCCUGCUCCCCAAAGCCCU
Molecule: non-coding RNA, 24 nt
Filed under: Arabidopsis thaliana (thale cress)
Lineage: Eukaryota; Viridiplantae; Streptophyta; Magnoliopsida; Brassicales; Brassicaceae
Source: RNAcentral